RNAcentral lists this ribosomal RNA (290 nucleotides) under uncultured Corynebacterium sp. RNAcentral's name for it is "partial 16S ribosomal RNA". The record is from RNAcentral. Lineage: Bacteria; Bacillati; Actinomycetota; Actinomycetes; Mycobacteriales; Corynebacteriaceae.
CUACCCGGGUAUCUAAUCCUGUUCGCUACCCAUGCUCUCGCUCCUCAGCGUCAGUAACUGCCCAGAGACCUGCCUUCGCCAUCGGUGUUCCUCCUGAUAUCUGCGCAUUUCACCGCUACACCAGGAAUUCCAGUCUCCCCUACAGCACUCAAGCAAUGCCCGUAUCGCCUGCCAACCAAAAGUUAAGCCCCUGGAUUACACAGACGACGCAACACACCACCUACGAGCCCUUUACGCCCAGUAAAUCCGGACAACGCUCGCACCCUACGUAUUACCGCGGCUGCUGGCAC